CCUACGGGUGGGCUGCAGUGGGGAAGAUUGCACAAUGGGGGGAACCAUGAUGCAGCGACGCCGCGUGAGUGAAGAAGUAUUUCGGUAUGUAAAGCUCUAUCAGCAGGGAAGAAGAUGACGGUACCUGACUAAGAAGCCCCGGCUAACUACGUGCCAGCAGCCGCGGUAAUACGUAGGGGGCAAGCGUUAUCCGGAUUUACUGGGUGUAAAGGGAGCGUAGACGGCAGGGCAAGUCUGGAGUGAAAGCCCGGGGCCCAACCCCGGGACUGCUUUGGAAACUGCCAUGCUAGAGUGCUGGAGAGGUAAGCGGAAUUCCUAGUGUAGCGGUGAAAUGCGUAGAUAUUAGGAGGAACACCAGUGGCGAAGGCGGCUUACUGGACAGUAACUGACGUUGAGGCUCGAAAGCGUGGGGAGCAAACAGGAUUAGAUACCCUAGUAGUC
This 441-nucleotide ribosomal RNA is filed under the name uncultured bacterium. Its description in RNAcentral is "partial 16S ribosomal RNA". It matches the Rfam family "Bacterial small subunit ribosomal RNA", at positions 338 to 795 of the family's 1533-position model. The record is from RNAcentral.